GAUGAACGCUGGCGGCGUGCUUAACACAUGCAAGUCGAACGGAAAGGCCCAAGCUUGCUUGGGUACUCGAGUGGCGAACGGGUGAGUAACACGUGGGUGAUCUGCCCUGCACUUCGGGAUAAGCCUGGGAAACUGGGUCUAAUACCGGAUAGGACCACAUUUUGGAUGGUGUGGUGGAAAGUUUUUCGGUGUGGGAUGAGCUCGCGGCCUAUCAGCUUGUUGGUGGGGUAAUGGCCUACCAAGGCGUCGACGGGUAGCCGGCCUGAGAGGGUGUACGGCCACAUUGGGACUGAGAUACGGCCCAGACUCCUACGGGAGGCAGCAGUGGGGAAUAUUGCACAAUGGGCGCAAGCCUGAUGCAGCGACGCCGCGUGGGGGAUGACGGCCUUAGGGUUGUAAACUCCUUUCGCUAGGGACGAAGCGCAAGUGACGGUACCUGGAGAAGAAGCACCGGCUAACUACGUG
Molecule: ribosomal RNA, 465 nt
Filed under: uncultured bacterium
Lineage: Bacteria
Description: partial 16S ribosomal RNA
Rfam family: Bacterial small subunit ribosomal RNA
Source: RNAcentral